RNAcentral lists this long non-coding RNA (2540 nucleotides) under Manihot esculenta (cassava). Its description in RNAcentral is "long non-coding RNA (MESC_LNC002284)". The record is from RNAcentral. Lineage: Eukaryota; Viridiplantae; Streptophyta; Magnoliopsida; Malpighiales; Euphorbiaceae.
GGUGAAAAAGUGUUGAAAUUGACUUGACCAACAAUUUGGGCAAACCUGCCCACUAAUCUUGCUUCAUAGAACCAAGACUUGCCCAUAAUCUCUAGCUGAGUUGAUUACAUUCCAAUUGAAAGAUUGGAGCAAUGGUUUACCCAAACCACUGGGCAAAUCAACAGUCUACGCUGAGACCUGAUAGUGAGUGGGAAACCAAUUCAAAUUUGAAAUAAAAAGAUCAAGUUUCCUCAUUCAAAGCCGCAGGACAUCACGCGAUUCUCACUCCUUCAGCGCGGCAUAAUAUCCUCCUUGAAUCAAGGAAUCUUCUCCCGAAUGGAAAUAAAUUAAAAGAGGAUCCUCCAAUCGAAGCAAUCAAGAUCUCUUAUUUUCGGAGGGAUUAGGAAGGAUUUUGCUAAGGUUCAGCACCUAUUUAAUCUGGUUUUUGUGGACAGUCGCAUAUCAUCUUCUCUCUCUUCCAAUCUUCUCUCUCUUCCAGCUGAGAGUCGACUCAACUUUUUCUUCAGCCAUUCUCUUUUCUUUUCUUUUGUAUUUUCUUUAAGCCAUGAGUGGCCAAACUCUUUAUUUCUAGUUGACGUUAAGUUGAAGUUUUAGUUUCUUCAUGAAUUGUGAGAUCUAAACAUCAUUGUUUAUCUUUUAUUCUUCCAAUAUUUAAACAAUUUCAGUUCUUAAUAUUAUUAUUGUUUUGCUAUUUGAUCAAUAGGGCUCAUUGCUCAUAUUUUCAAAGUAAUAUAUUGUUAGUUUGAAUACUUGAAGUCCGUAAUUGCUUGAGCUUCGUAACUGUUUGAGGUAUUCAACAAGAAUUAAGGAAUUGCAUGAUCUAGUUUGAACUCACUACGCGGUUUGCUUUGUUGGUUAGAAUUAGGUAUCUCUAAAUUUUAAGGCGGUUGAUAAAUUAAAUCGAAUAGAUAUUCUUUGGGUUGUUUGUUGACUAGAAUUAAUUAGCGAACGUUUUCUAAUUAAUUUUCUCCUAGCGUCUUCCAUAACUAGAACUAAUUUAUUGGAAUGCAUAAAGGUAUUUUUAUUUCUAUGAUCAAUUUUCACAACCGAAAUGGAUCCUAAAUUUGGACUAGAAUUUAUUUGCAUUGAUUUGAUUUCCCUUUGAUUAUUGCUUCCUUUAAUCGUCUUGAUUUCUAUUUUAUCUUCUCCCUUCAUCAAACCCCCUUUUUUUACUUUUAUUAUUUAUUUUUCUAGUUUAUGACCGGAAGUUUUUAGUGUCAAUUCCCUGUAAAUUCGAUUUUAUUCGCCCUAUACGCAAUUUAUAUUUAUUUUGGAUAGGUUUUUUUUAUGGCUUCAACCAUAAAAAAUUGGCAGGUUUAUGACUGAUACAUCCUUUUUCCAUUACCCGCAACCGCGAUUUGAAACCAUAGUGCUUAGUAUCUACAUGCAAAUCAUAAUAUGAUUGAAAAUUCCAACGGGAAUCAAUAAUUUUCCAGUAAUCUAUAUAAUUUCUGAAAUUUUGCUUCAUAGCCAAUUUCAGUCUUAGAUAAAGCCCAUAGGUUUCUUGUCACCAUCCACUAAUCUCAAAAUUUUAAGCAAUGACUCUUGAAUUUUUAUAAUUUAUUCGAUUUCCUGACAAAAGUUUCUUCCUCCUUUAUCCAAGCCAAAAAUAAUUUUCUUAGCUUUAGAAGCAGAUUCAUUAGUAAGUUGGUCAUAUUUAGUUGUUAUCCAUUGCUCCAACUCAAACAUGUUUCUCAAUCCCAUAUUGGAUAAAACUCUACAAUGCAAUAAAAUUUGUUGAAACCUAUUAAUUUCGAAACGAAUUAUAUCUCUUCUAUCAAUGAAUUUGUUCAUAUAAUUUAUCACUCAAUUAUUAUUGUAGAUAAAUUGGAUGAUAAUUUUUCCUUGUUUAAUGAUGGCUUUUAUACCUCUCUUCUUUCCAAAAUUUUCUAAAAUUAAAUUAAUGUGAAAUGCAUUAUAGGCCAUUCAAUACAAAUUUAGAAAUUUUUUCAUCAACUUCUCGCCACCACAUUUGAUAACAACUUCGUUACCAGUCACUACUUGGACAACCUCCCUCGUGCCAAUUUCAUCGACUACCUUUUUUAUGAUUUUGAAGUAAUAAUAUUUUCUUUCAAUAUUACUUGGAUCUAUGGAUUUGAGAAACAAUAUAUCCUGAGGUGAGUAUACCAAAAAAUUAAUUAGUCUCAUUCUAGUUGGUCCACUCCAUCCAUCAUGGUAACUCUCCUCUAGUUUCACAUGUCCUCAAAUGAAUCAAUAUUUUUUUUAUUUCUUUGCAUUCAUUUUUCAAACACACUUUAGAAAUCUAAUGUGCCAAAGGUGAUGAUACAUUAAACCUAACUUCACCAGCUUUUCAGAGCAAUGGUCUAGUCCAUGGUGACUCAACCAUACUGAAAAGCUAUAUGUUGUGAAUGACAAAAUACCAAAGGGUUUUGAGCAACUUUCCUUUUGCAACUUAAGCCAUUUGGUUUUAGUUUUUUAUUGUUUCAUAAUUCUAUUCUUUUCUAAUUCAAUUUCAGCCAUUGUUAAUCUAAAAACACGUGUUGGCGCUUGCUCAACAAAUCUUGAUGUAGAAUUCAAAC